UACGUAGGGUGCGAGCGUUGUCCGGAAUUACUGGGCGUAAAGAGCUCGUAGGUGGUUUGUCGCGUUGUUCGUGAAAUCUCACGGCUUAACUGUGAGCGUGCGGGCGAUACGGGCAGACUGGAGUACUGCAGGGGAGACUGGAAUUCCUGGUGUAGCGGUGGAAUGCGCAGAUAUCAGGAGGAACACCGGUGGCGAAGGCGGGUCUCUGGGCAGUAACUGACGCUGAGGAACGAAAGCGUGGGGAGCGAACAGG
RNAcentral lists this ribosomal RNA (253 nucleotides) under uncultured bacterium. RNAcentral's name for it is "partial 16S ribosomal RNA". It matches the Rfam family "Bacterial small subunit ribosomal RNA", at positions 524 to 776 of the family's 1533-position model. The record is from RNAcentral.